RNAcentral lists this ribosomal RNA (407 nucleotides) under uncultured bacterium. RNAcentral's name for it is "partial 16S ribosomal RNA". It matches the Rfam family "Bacterial small subunit ribosomal RNA", at positions 30 to 526 of the family's 1533-position model. The record is from RNAcentral.
AUUGAACGCUGGCGGCAGGCCUAACACAUGCAAGUCGAGCGGUGCGGCGGCCGGGUGAGUAAUGCCUAGGAAUCUGCCUGGUAGUGGGGGAUCACGUCCGUCACCGGGCGCUAAUACCGCAUACUAUCAGAUGAGCCUAGGUCGGAUUAGCUAGUUGGUGGGGUAAAGGCCUACCAAGGCGACGAUCCGUAACUGGUCUGAGAGGAUGAUCAGGCACACUGGAACGGAGACACGGUCCAGACUCCUACGGGAGGCAGCAGUGGGGAAUAUUGGACAAUGGGCGAAAGCCUGAUCCAGCCAUGCCGCGUGUGUGAAGAAGGUCUUCGGAUUGUAAAGCACUUUAAGUUGGGAGGCGUUACCAACAGAAUAAGCACCGGCUAACUUCGUGCCAGCAGCCGCGGUAAUAC